UAUAACUAGAUUUUAUCUUUUAUAUAAUUUAAAAUUUAAAAUUAAUGAUUAAUAGAAUAAUAGAUAGCUUAAAGGCACGUUAACCGGGCCUUCUAUAAAUAUUAAAUACUCCCACACAGCAGCAGUUAGCGGAAGUCAGCUUAUUCUUAACUUUAUUGACCGGUUGCCGGUUUCAGCCCAGCCUUGAUUUCCUCUGCCUUUUGCUCUCUCCCAAUCACUGCUCCCAUUUUUCAUUUCUUCAGUUCUAUACAUAUUGUGCUUCAAAUUUUAUCUCUAUAUUUCCUAUGGCUUCCAUGAGAACUCAAAGGAGGGUCUACGUCAUCACCAUCAUCUUCUUCUUCUUCAACACCUCAGUCUCAGUGGAAAUACAAGGUGUUUCUCAGUUUUUGAAAAAAACUUUUGUUGAACCCAAAAAAUGUGGAGAGCUGCUUUGAGAGAGGUGGCCAAUCACUCUGAUUAUAAUUGACAUGUCUGCAGAUGAUGAUGCCAAUGUUCUUUUCAUACCUUGAUUGACUGUAAAAUAGGGAGGAGGAUUUUCAUGGGAUGAAUUUCAAUUGAGGCUACUGAUAUUGAAUGUGCACAAGCAUUUCUGUCAAUCUAACUGUGUUUUUUCUAUUUCUUUUUUUUGGAUAAAAAUCUUGAUAUGUUGUAAUGAAUUUUUAUAUUUUGAUGAUUUGGAAAUGUAUUCUUGUGACAUAUCCUUCUUUCAUAA
Long non-coding RNA from Quercus robur (English oak), 712 nucleotides. RefSeq lists it as uncharacterized. Lineage: Eukaryota; Viridiplantae; Streptophyta; Magnoliopsida; Fagales; Fagaceae. The transcript is spliced from 2 exons. The record is from RefSeq and is a predicted model, not a curated record.